GGUGGGUUCGCCUAAUGGCAUGGCAUCGGUCUUGAAAACCGACGGGCGCAAGCCCUUGGAGGUUCGACUCCUCCACCCACCG
This 82-nucleotide transfer RNA is filed under the name Candidatus Yanofskyibacteriota bacterium. RNAcentral's name for it is "Candidatus Yanofskybacteria bacterium tRNA-Ser". It matches the Rfam family "tRNA". From Rfam's summary of the family: Transfer RNA (tRNA) molecules are approximately 80 nucleotides in length. The record is from RNAcentral. Lineage: Bacteria; Candidatus Yanofskyibacteriota.